RNA transcript from Cucumis melo (muskmelon), 1172 nucleotides. It is a transcript of the gene named ADP-ribosylation factor-like, with no coding region annotated. The record is from RefSeq and is a predicted model, not a curated record. The transcript is spliced from 4 exons. Lineage: Eukaryota; Viridiplantae; Streptophyta; Magnoliopsida; Cucurbitales; Cucurbitaceae.
CAAUUUUCCUCUUCCUUUCUGACAACCCACACGAUCCCAAACGCAUCCAUCCAGAACGCCGCCGACGCCUCUCGUGCUCACCCAUCCCAAACGUCACCGAACGUCGAACGCCAAACGCUAACUUCCAUUCGAACGUCGAACGCCUAACGCGAACGCCUAACGCGAACGCGAACGCCGCUCCCCGUCUCUUUUGCUGUCUUUGUUGUUUGUUAGGCUGCUUGAUUUGAUUACUUUUGUUGGUUUCUUUUUUUUACGUAUCAGGUUCUUAGACAAAUUGAAAAUACCCGGCUAAGGAAAAGGAGAAAUGGGAUUGACCUUCACCAACCUUUUCAAUAGGCUUUUUGCAAAGAAGGAGAUGCAGAUUUUGAUGGUUGGUCUUGAUGCUGCUGAAAAGACCACGAUCUUGUACAAGCUCAAGCUCGGAGAAAUUGUCACAACUAUUCCUACAAUGGGUGGCAUUGGCGGGUACCUCCUUUUCGUUUCUUCAGAGAGUUGGUGCUGUGGUGCGUAAUGGGGGCAAGCUAUUUGCUGUAGGGAGUGGUGCAUCUGUGUGUGAGAGUGGGUUUUGGUUCAUAAAGGAUUCCCUAAAAUAAGCGUUAAACCAUAUAAUGUGUAACAUAUAGCCUAAAAGAAAUUAAAAGCUGUGUUGGGAGCUUUAAUUUGGUGUUUGUAGCCUUGCAGCUAUAUGUUGCUGCUGUCUAAUGAGCAUAUAGAAAAAAGUCGAGUGUUUGUUAUAAUGGUAAGAAUCAACUUUAAAUCAUGAGUAUAUUGUAAUUCUAUUUAUAAUUUUCUUGCUCUAUCAUAUUGUAUCAGUAAAAAGCUGGAUUACUUGUUGUACAAUAUCAUUUUCUGCCUCACUUUUCAAUGUUUAGUAUAUUUGUUAUUCUUAAUGUCAUUUGUCGUAAUGUAGUCCAUAUUCCUAGCAUGUGCUUCCUUUUCAGCUCUAAUUCGAAAAGCCUAUUGCCUCUCAAGUUUUAAUUUUCACUAUUCACCAUUGGCCUCCUACUUAGAGUUGCACAUAUAUUAGUAUAUUAUUAUGUGUGAUGCUCUGAAUAUUUGAUGAUUUGCUAAUGCAAGGUUAAAAUUGCCAAGUGGAACCCUGAAAAGGAUUUGCUAGCCAUGGUCACGAAAGACUAAAAAAUUUUGUUCUAGCGUUUCAACUGGCAAAGGUU